GGAAGAAGAAAGGUAAUUAAGCUGAUCAGAUCAAAUCACCAGCCUUGCUCUGUUCUGAACCAAGUUUUGUUUAUGUUUUGAUAAUAGUCAGAUUGUGAGCUUAGCUUGAGAGGAGUGUUCAGCCAAGAUCAAGCCUUCUAGUUGUUUUGGAUCGUUUCAGCUCAUUCGAGAUCAGUUUCAGGCCUUCUUAAAUUCGGUUUCAAGACUUGUAUCAAGGUAACCGUUAGGCGGGAGACUUACUCUUUUGGACUUAAAGGAACGGCCUAACCAGUGGUAGUUUUUGUUGUCCUUGCAACGAAUCUUUUGUUGUAUAUUUACUGUAAAACGUUGUUGGGCGAUAUGCCGUAGGUUAA
This is a long non-coding RNA of Brassica oleracea var. oleracea, 353 nucleotides long. RefSeq lists it as uncharacterized. The record is from RefSeq and is a predicted model, not a curated record. The transcript has 3 exons. NCBI's taxonomy places the organism in Eukaryota, Viridiplantae, Streptophyta, Magnoliopsida, Brassicales, Brassicaceae.